AGCGAACGCUGGCGGCAGGCCUAACACAUGCAAGUCGAACGAACCUUUCGGGGUUAGUGGCGGACGGGUGAGUAACACGUGGGAACGUGCCUUUAGGUUCGGAAUAACUCAGGGAAACUUGUGCUAAUACCGAAUGUGCCCUUCGGGGGAAAGAUUUAUCGCCUUUAGAGCGGCCCGCGUCUGAUUAGCUAGUUGGUUGAGGUAAUGGCUCACCAAGGCGACGAUCAGUAGCUGGUCUGAGAGGAUGAUCAGCCACAUUGGGACUGAGACACGGCCCAAACUCCUACGGGAGGCAGCAGUGGGGAAUCUUGCGCAAUGGGCGAAAGCCUGACGCAGCCAUGCCGCGUGAAUGAUGAAGGUCUUAGGAUUGUAAAAUUCUUUCACCGGGGACGAUAAUGACGGGACCCGGAGAAGAAGCCCCGGCGAACUUCGU
Molecule: ribosomal RNA, 433 nt
Filed under: uncultured bacterium
Lineage: Bacteria
Description: partial 16S ribosomal RNA
Rfam family: Bacterial small subunit ribosomal RNA
Source: RNAcentral